Elaeis guineensis (African oil palm) is the source of this 1413-nucleotide non-coding RNA. NCBI's taxonomy places the organism in Eukaryota, Viridiplantae, Streptophyta, Magnoliopsida, Arecales, Arecaceae. The record is from RefSeq and is a predicted model, not a curated record.
AAGAAAAGAAGCUGAGAUGUAAUUAAAAGCCCUCCAAGUCUCGGGGGAAGGGUUGGAGAAACCGACGACGGCCGACGGGGGAGCCGAAAGCUCUCCGAGUUUCAAGAGGGAGAGUUCGAGAAACUGACGACGGAGUAGGCGAGGAAAGGGGAAGAGUCGCCGUCCUCGACCUUGGCCUCGGCACUCGGUUCUUCUACUUCCACCACGUUUUCCGCCCUUCCUUCCAUCCCUAACUCUCGCUUGUAUCUCUCUCUUGGUUUCUUGAUCGGUUUCCGAUGCUUUUUCUAAGUCCCAGACCAGAGUCACCGGCCUCAACCUUGGCCUCGUCACUUAGUUCUUCUCCUUCCACCACGAUUUGGCGUGGUGCUGCUUUUCCUUUAAAUUUUGUGAAUCUGAAGCCAGCCGGGAGUUUUCUUUGCCUUUUCAAUUGGACUGCCUUCGAGAGAGUAUCAUGGAGACUUUGCACACCAGAGACCAAACCAUAUGGCUUUCUUGCGCCGUAGUGUUUCCUCAAGCUCCUCCAGCAAAUGAACAUGGAUUUCUAGUUGUGUCUCCAGUGCAGGGUUUUGACUCAGGGCCCAAGGCUUUGAGAAAGAGCUGUGAAUGGAAUCUGGUGCCAAAGCAGGAACAAUUCUAUAAAAGUGCAGAGCAAACAGGCUGAAUUCUUUUAACAGGACGGCAAAAUUGUCGAAUUCUGGUUCGCUUUUGCUGAUGGUAGAUGCUUCAGGAGAUUUGGUCAUUGAAUUUGCCAUUGAAGAAGCAGCUCAGAGAGUACACUUUUUCUUUUCUUUCCGGUGGUGAUCAAUUCUUCAGCACAUAACGUAGAUCAACAUUGAUUGUCAUCCUAGAUCUAUUGCGGGCAGGAUGGUAAUUUUUACCAAAAGGGCAGGAAAGAUCUGAAGCAUACAUAUUUACAAAAGGUUUUGAUAAAUCCCCUCAAGUAGGGCUGGAUCGAGUGUUAUGUAUGAUCAAGCCUUCAUGUACUCUACUAUGAUCACAGUUUGCAUCUCUUUGAAACCAAGAAGGCUCUCAGGUGAAUGAAUCAUGCUUCUUUGAAGGAAAAAUGUGUUCGAAUUGUAUGAUCCCAUAGAUAUCCUCUUUUAAGAAAGACUGUAAUCUGCAAUUUCCUUGUUGAGUUUGUUCGUUCAGCAUGGACGAACCUCUUUUGUGCUGGGCCCAGGCUAUGCCGGUGUUUUCUAAUGUCAGAUUACUCGACACACUUUGGCGCCUUUCCACAUGCUGCACUUUUUUUGGUUCGCAUCCAACUUUCGGUGGUGGAUUCAUCCUGUUUUUUAGUAAAUCAUGGUUAUUUAUUCUGUCAGUGGUCAAACCAUAGCACAUGAAUCCUCAUUUUAAUAAAAUAUGAUGUGCUUCUGAGAACACAUUAUAAUGUUUACCACACCCGUUUGAAAU